This 771-nucleotide ribosomal RNA is filed under the name uncultured bacterium. RNAcentral describes it as "bacterial SSU rRNA". It matches the Rfam family "Bacterial small subunit ribosomal RNA", at positions 8 to 796 of the family's 1533-position model. The record is from RNAcentral.
AGAGUUUGAUCCUGGCUCAGGACGAACGCUGGCGGCGUGCUUAACACAUGCAAGUCGAACGGAAAGGCCCUUCGGGGUACUCGAGUGGCGAACGGGUGAGUAACACGUGGGUGAUCUGCCCUGCACUUUGGGAUAAGCCUGGGAAACUGGGUCUAAUACCGAAUAUGACCAUGCACUUCCUGGUGUGUGGUGGAAAGCUUUUGCGGUGUGGGAUGGGCCCGCGGCCUAUCAGCUUGUUGGUGGGGUAAUGGCCUACCAAGGCGACGACGGGUAGCCGGCCUGAGAGGGUGACCGGCCACACUGGGACUGAGAUACGGCCCAGACUCCUACGGGAGGCAGCAGUGGGGAAUAUUGCACAAUGGGCGCAAGCCUGAUGCAGCGACGCCGCGUGAGGGAUGACGGCCUUCGGGUUGUAAACCUCUUUCAGCACAGACGAAGCGCAAGUGACGGUAUGUGCAGAAGAAGGACCGGCCAACUACGUGCCAGCAGCCGCGGUAAUACGUAGGGUCCGAGCGUUGUCCGGAAUUACUGGGCGUAAAGAGCUCGUAGGUGGUUUGUCGCGUUGUUCGUGAAAACUCACAGCUUAACUGUGGGCGUGCGGGCGAUACGGGCAGACUUGAGUACUGCAGGGGAGACUGGAAUUCCUGGUGUAGCGGUGGAAUGCGCAGAUAUCAGGAGGAACACCGGUGGCGAAGGCGGGUCUCUGGGCAGUAACUGACGCUGAGGAGCGAAAGCGUGGGGAGCGAACAGGAUUAGAUACCCCGGUAGUCC